Molecule: transfer RNA, 74 nt
Filed under: Pyrinomonadaceae bacterium
Lineage: Bacteria; Pseudomonadati; Acidobacteriota; Blastocatellia; Blastocatellales; Pyrinomonadaceae
Description: tRNA-Arg
Rfam family: tRNA
About the family: Transfer RNA (tRNA) molecules are approximately 80 nucleotides in length. Their secondary structure includes four short double-helical elements and three loops (D, anti-codon, and T loops).
Source: RNAcentral
GUGCCCGUAGCUCAACGGACGAGAGCUUUCGUCUUCUAAACGAACGGUUGCAGGUUCGAGUCCUGCCGGGCACU